RNAcentral lists this ribosomal RNA (613 nucleotides) under Lodderomyces parapsilosis. RNAcentral describes it as "LSU rRNA". It matches the Rfam family "Eukaryotic large subunit ribosomal RNA", at positions 38 to 667 of the family's 3401-position model. Lineage: Eukaryota; Fungi; Ascomycota; Pichiomycetes; Serinales; Debaryomycetaceae. The record is from RNAcentral.
GCAUAUCAAUAAGCGGAGGAAAAGAAACCAACAGGGAUUGCCUUAGUAGCGGCGAGUGAAGCGGCAAAAGCUCAAAUUUGAAAUCUGGCACUUUCAGUGUCCGAGUUGUAAUUUGAAGAAGGUAUCUUUGGGUCUGGCUCUUGUCUAUGUUUCUUGGAACAGAACGUCACAGAGGGUGAGAAUCCCGUGCGAUGAGAUGUCCCAGACCUAUGUAAAGUUCCUUCGAAGAGUCGAGUUGUUUGGGAAUGCAGCUCUAAGUGGGUGGUAAAUUCCAUCUAAAGCUAAAUAUUGGCGAGAGACCGAUAGCGAACAAGUACAGUGAUGGAAAGAUGAAAAGAACUUUGAAAAGAGAGUGAAAAAGUACGUGAAAUUGUUGAAAGGGAAGGGCUUGAGAUCAGACUUGGUAUUUUGUAUGUUACUCUCUCGGGGGUGGCCUCUACAGUUUACCGGGCCAGCAUCAGUUUGAGCGGUAGGAUAAGUGCAAAGAAAUGUGGCACUGCUUCGGUAGUGUGUUAUAGUCUUUGUCGAUACUGCCAGCUUAGACUGAGGACUGCGGCUUCGGCCUAGGAUGUUGGCAUAAUGAUCUUAAGUCNCCCGUCUUGAAACACGGACC